Long non-coding RNA from Mya arenaria, 1493 nucleotides. RefSeq lists it as uncharacterized. The transcript is spliced from 2 exons. The record is from RefSeq and is a predicted model, not a curated record. Lineage: Eukaryota; Metazoa; Mollusca; Bivalvia; Myida; Myidae.
UUAGCCUUAUGAUACAGUAUUGUGCAUUUAAGACCCUUAUUGUAUGCCAUAGAAAUAUACUCAAAUUCUAUUGGUGAGGGUAACAUUACAGGUAUACAGUGCAACCAUCUCACUAGAUCAAGAGCCAUACUUACAUAUGUUAAAUAUAUUUAUAUUUUAUUUUACUGCUUUUUUAUGGUAUGACCUCUUUGAUAUUUGUGGAAAAGGUCUGUGAUUUAUUGGUGAAGUGAUUUGGAUAUAUCAACUAAACUCUGAGCACAGGGAUUUAAAUAUCAAAGGGAGAUAAUCCUGUUCAAAGGACAUCAAAGGACUUUAAAGCUUUAAACUGAAAGGGCAUCAAAAGGGACAACUUCUUGUGUGAAAAAAAACCCCAGGUUAGACAAUAGAAAAGUAUACGAACAGUUUUUCAUUUAAAGUGACCUCUCAAUAAAACCCAAGACAACUAGAAAAUAUCAACAAAUCUCCAGAAAACGCAACACAACUAUGGGUAGUGGUGAAGGUCAAGGAGAGGGUCAAGGUCGCGGUGGUGGACUGUGCCCGGGACUUCUUUGGGGUUUUGUGUGGUUUCUAAUCCUCAUUUUCCUGGGAUGGCCAAUUGGAUUUUUUGUAGCAUGGUGGUACAUUUUCCUGCUGCCGUUUUCAGCUUGUAUUGAGCCGCUCAAAGGAGCAUGCGAGGCUCUACUCAAAGUUGUACAGUUGCCGUUAACAUGUGCAGAAAAUAUGGUGGCAAUGAAACCACUAUGUGGUUAAGUGUGUGUGCUUGUUAUAGAACAUAUUAUGUUUGUUAUCAUUUGUAUCACAUUGUUCAGCAGCUUAAUUCCAUAGUUUAUGUACACCGAAUAAUGUGCCUUAACAAAUGCAUUAAAAUUUAUAUAUUUUGGCGCUUUUUUAAGUGGGGAAUUUGUUAACACAACGCUAUUAAUCGAAAAAAGGCUUUUUAUUUGUACACAAAUCAUUUUUGUUUUGAUCAUUAAAGUCAAAUAAACAUAAGCAUGCAUUAAAAUAACAAUAAUAAAUUUGCAUCAGCCCAGAUAGUGCCACUUUCUGAGGAAACUUUGUGUUCAUAACAUCAAGAUGAAAUAAUGGCAUUCCUAAUUUUAAGUUAUUGCAGAAUAAGCAGUAAAGGGAAUUAUCUUAAUUGAAAGGAAUUAAAUAUAGUACUAAUUUGAUGUAUAGGCACGAACUGAAUAUCGAAGGUAAUUACAGUAUGCAUGUACAAGCAUUCUAAUAAGUGUACAAUAUUAUACUUGCUCACAUCUGUUUCAAAUAUCAGAAAACCUGCAUCAUGAAUACUUUUAGAAUAUAGUUAUAUACCUGUACAGUGUAUUUUGUUUAUUUAUUUCAUUUUAUUCUAAACUGCAGCUGUUUCAUUAUCAUUUUGUCGCGAGGUGUCAGAUUGAUAUGUUAUGUCAUAUUCAGAUUGUGAAAAUGAAGGUAUGCCAUUAUCAAGGGUGUAACUGAUAAAUAAUAUGAAUAUAAAUAGUUUCACAAUU